UGUAAUACAAUACUCAGAUAAGCAUUCCAACAAACACCUAACGUGAGUGACACUGUUUGUGUAGAGAUUGGAGAAAUUUCUAGAACUUAAGUCUUCUCUCUUGUCACACACAAGAUAUACAUGCCAACAUAGCAGAUGGGCUAUAAGCCCAUGAGCCUAACUACACAUAGCAUAUCUUAACACUCCCUCUCAAGAUGGACGAUAGAUAUCUUAUCAUCCCCAUCUUGUUACAUGCUUACUCACAUUCUUUUAAUUCUAAACCUUUGGUUAGACAGUCUGCCACUUGUUCCCUAGAAAUUACAUGACUCAACACAAUAAUACCAGCAUCUAUCUUCUCCUUGAUGAAAAAAGGAUCAAUCUCAAC
This 364-nucleotide long non-coding RNA is filed under the name Panicum hallii. RNAcentral describes it as "long non-coding RNA (PHAL_LNC000724)". The record is from RNAcentral. Lineage: Eukaryota; Viridiplantae; Streptophyta; Magnoliopsida; Poales; Poaceae.